RNAcentral lists this long non-coding RNA (1139 nucleotides) under Equus caballus (horse). Its description in RNAcentral is "lncRNA (ENSECAG00000059218.1)". The record is from RNAcentral. Lineage: Eukaryota; Metazoa; Chordata; Mammalia; Perissodactyla; Equidae.
UCCCCACCAUGUGCCCCACUCAGGGAAAGCUCAGGUGGCUCAAAGGAGGUCCUCAGUGCAGCUCAGAAACACGGAGUAGGUUAGAUGGGUUUCCUGAGCCAGCCUGGGAACAUAAGCACUGGAGCUCAUCGGUUUUAUGUGUAAAUGUAUUUCAAAUUUCAAAUAGUGCCGAUACACACAUGACCUUUCAGAAUACAACCCAUUAGCAAGUCGUAGACUGCCGCUUGUGCACCAGUGUCCAGAACCUGAAUUUCCCUGACUCAACUCAGAUUGAGGCUGAGACCUAAGGAGGGUUUCCAUCCAGAUGCACAAAGGGGAAGCAGCGAUGGCCAUUCCAUCAACCUGGAUUUGAUAAAACUCACUAGGAGGCGUGGAUCUAGAUGGGCACUCAGGAGCAUGGCACACGUGCUGGCUGCGUUGUUGUCGAGCCACCUGCCUUGUCAUCUGGACUACUGACGUCUUCCCGUUGGUCGGGAUCAAAACUGACCAUUGCUAAGCCUCCCUGGCCUUCGGGAUGGGCCCAUCUCGCAGACCCCCUGCUGAGCCAGGCCUGCAGGGACUUCAUGCUGGUCCCAGCCCUGCCCUCCACCUUGGUGUCCUGCUCUGCCUCGCCAAAGAAUUCUGCAACAGAAUACCAGGCAUGUCUGCACGCCCCCGUCUGGAGCAGAGGCGGGGUGAGACACUCUGGUCUGUUAAAGAAUGUGUUAGGGGCCUGCCAUGGCAGAGUGGUUAAGUUCACGUGCUCCAAUUUGGAGGCCCAGGGUUUCACUGGUUCGAUCCUGGGCGUGGACAUGGCACUGCUCAUCAGGCCACGUUGAGGCUGCAUCCCACAUUCCACAACUAGAAGGACCCACAACUAAAAAUACAUACAACUGUAUACUGGGGGGAUUUGGGGAGAAAAAGCUGAGAGAAAGAGAAAAAAAGGAAGAUUGGCAACAGUUGUUAGCUCGGGUGCCAAUCUUUUAAAAAAAAAAAAGAUGGGGCCGCCCCGUGGCCAAGGCUUAAGUUCGUGUGCUCUGCUUUGGGUGGCUGGGGGUUUUGCUGGUUUGGAUCCUGGGUGCGGACAUGGCACUGCUCACCGAGCCAUUCUGGGGUGGCGUCCCACAUGCCACAACUAGAGGGACCCACAACUAACAGUA